UUGGGACACAAAUAUUAAAAAACUUGUUUUUUAUCUAAAAAGUAUCACUAAAAUAUAAAUUAAAAAUUAUUCAACCAAUCACAAAACAUACUACAAAAUAUAAUUGGUUACACAGUUUUUGAUAAAGUUAAAAGAUACCUUGAAAUAUGAAAACAUCAUCUAUUUUGAAACAUCAAAAACUCUCUAAAACAUCAUCUAUUUUGAAACGGAGGGAGUACAUUUUAAUUUUUGUUUUGUUUAAUGUGGUAUUUUCAUUUUUAUAUAAUUUACUACCAUUUUAAGAUAUAUGUACAUUUAAGAUAGAUGUUUAAAUCUUAAUGUAUUUUUUCUAUUUUUUUUAAAUGUUUAUUUCCAUUUCUUAUAUUUUUUAUUUACGUAAUAUCUAUAUUUUAUAUUUUAAAAUAGAUAUUUAAAUCUUAAUGUACUUUUUCAUUUUUUUGUAAAUUGUGUAUUUACUUAUAUUAUAUAUUUUACAUUUUAAGAUAGAUGUUUAAUGCUUAAUAAACUUUUUCCAUUUUUUUAAAAAAAAUUGUGUAUUUACUUAUUAUUAUAUAUAUAAUUCAUAUAUUAUAGAUUUAAAUAUUUACUUAUUAUUUAUUUUCCUGUAUAUGUAUUUCCAUUUCUUGUACUUUUUAUUUACUUAAUAUCUUUAUUUUACUUUUAAAGAUAGAUGUUAAAAUCUUAAUGUACGUUUUCCAUUUUUAAAAAAAAGUAUAUUUC
Molecule: long non-coding RNA, 720 nt
Filed under: Brassica rapa (field mustard)
Lineage: Eukaryota; Viridiplantae; Streptophyta; Magnoliopsida; Brassicales; Brassicaceae
Description: long non-coding RNA (BRAP_LNC003936)
Source: RNAcentral